GUUGUUCGGAAUUACUGGGCGUAAAGGGCUCGUAGGCGGCCAACUAAGUCCGACGUGAAAUCCCAAAGCUUAACUUUGGAACUGCGUCGGAUACUGGAUGGCUUGGAUUUGGGAGAGGGAUGCGGAAUUCCAGGUGUAGCGGUGAAAUGCGUAGAUAUCUGGAGGAACACCGGUGGCGAAGGCGGCAUCCUGGACCAAUAUUGACGCUGAGGAGCGAAAGCCAGGGGAGCAAACGGG
Molecule: ribosomal RNA, 237 nt
Filed under: uncultured bacterium
Lineage: Bacteria
Description: partial 16S ribosomal RNA
Rfam family: Bacterial small subunit ribosomal RNA
Source: RNAcentral